This 312-nucleotide long non-coding RNA is filed under the name Panax ginseng (ginseng). RNAcentral's name for it is "long non-coding RNA (PGIN_LNC013121)". Lineage: Eukaryota; Viridiplantae; Streptophyta; Magnoliopsida; Apiales; Araliaceae. The record is from RNAcentral.
AGCGAAAAUAAUAAUUUCAUAGAUGAGAUAUGUAGAGAAUGAAAUCUACUAUAAUCUAUGAAUUUAAAAGUCCAUCAUCAAUAUUUUAUCCCUGUAACAUCAAUCAAUAUUUAUCUUGAAUCAAAUAUUCAUCUUUGCACUACAGGCCAAAGAUAUUCAUCAGUUGGUCAUGUUCAUCUCAACACCUGUACAUCUUUGCACUACAGGCCAAAGAUAUUCAUAAGAAAAUCAACCAUCUUUGCACUACAGGCCAAAGAUAUUCAGUAAUAUCAUCAUUUAGGACUGAGGAUGAUGAAAAAUAUUUUAAAGAAA